GCCGCACUGCUAUCUCAGCGCGGGGGCGGGCGGGCGCCCACGGAAGUGGGAGUGGGUGGGGCCGCUCCGGCGGUCGGGCGCGUGGUCACGUGGGGCAGGCGGGGCGGGGCGCGCCUCUGCGGCGGCACAACGCGGCCGCGAGACUGGAGCACGUACCUGACGUCCUCACGCUUCCGCAGGCGCGGACGGGCUGCCGUCUGAGGCGGGGGCGGGCGGGGCUGACGCGUGAAGCCUGCCGCGUGUGACGUCAGCGCGCGGGGCGGGCUCCGGCUGCGGGUUCCCGCGCGGUCGCUGCCGCUGGCGGGGAGCUAGCGGUGCGUGUUCCAGCGCGGGUGUCCGCUUGCCGGCUUUUGGGAAGUUCCGGUUGGAUCCGAGCGCACUGCCGCGUGGGUGUGAUGGUGCGGCGCCGUGAGGCGGCUGCGGCGGACCGCGGAGGGGGGACGCUCCGUGUCUGGAGGUCUCUCGGCUGCUCGGGGGAGACAGGUCGGUCCGCCUAGUGCGCGGGGAGCGUGAGGACCUGCGGUUUCUGGGGGUCCCCGCCGGUGAUUACCUCACGGUCCGGACGCUCAGUCAGGGUCGGCCCCAGGGAAGCGCUGUGGAGCACUGGCUGCGUUCCGAGGGCCGGCAGCGGAGCGAGUCUCUCUCCUUCCUCCUCCGGUCUUCGUUGCCCGCAACCUUGAGCAUCCUUCCGAAGGGCGGGGGCUGGGAGCACACGCGCGGUUGCGGCCCUUGACUGGCGCUGUCACCUCGUGUCCCCCAAGCUCCCCCCACCCCAGAGUGACACCUCAUGGUGUACCUCGUGUCCCCCGAGCUCCUCCCCCGGAGUGACGACCUCAUGGUGUACCUCAUGUCCCCCAAGCUCCCUCCCCGGAGUGACGACCUCACGGUGAAUCUCGUGUCCCCCAAGUCCCUCCCCUGGAGUGAUACCUUAUGGUGUAUCUCGUGUCCCCCGAGCUCCACCCCCUGGAGUGCCGACCUCACAGUGUACCUCAUGUCCCCAGAGCUCUCCCCCCCGCCCCAACGAGUGAAGACCUCACAGUGUACCUCGUGUCCCCUGAGCUUCCCCCGCCUUGUGGUGGGGCCCUGGAGUUCUGACUUGAUGGUGUACCUCCUGUUGCACGAGCUCCUCUCCCCCAUGGCGGGGAUCCUGGAGUGAUGACUUGAUAACUAGGAUGGCUGCAGGGACGAAGCCUGGUAUCUUCAGGACAAAACCAUGACACUCCACAGACAGCUUUGCCACGUGGAGUGAAACCCCGGCAAGUCGAGGAAGACUGCCGGCUGGAGACGGAAGUGCAAUCCCGGCAUGGUCAGCGGAACAGGUCACAGACUCAGUGCUCCAGGAGUUCUCCCGGUGGGGGAAGCAUUUGCAUGUGCUGAUCGCAGUGCCCACAUCUCAUUAAUAGUUCAGCCGGGCUCUAAGUCCCGUGAGGGCCAUGGCCGUACUGGCAGUGUUUAUCAUCAUAUCUCCAGGCUGGCACAGUGCCUGAAUGAAUAGCCGAGACCUCCCUUCUCCUCUUCAGAUCUGUUAUAAUUAUGUUUGCAUGUUUGUGUGUGUGGCCAUGGAGAUUUCUAAACGUAUAUCAGAAACAUUGCUCUAGGAUCCAGAACACUCAGUUUUGGGCAAGGACACUCAACCUCAAGCAAGGGAAGAGGUUUUCCUUUUCUUGCUCUUUCCCGUAUUACAUUUACUUGUAAAUAUAUAAAAUGGCCAGUCUCAAGCCUUUUCCUCAGCAACAGCUAAAUGUGCUAAUGCCAAGUCAUACUCAAGACUAAGGUACAAAUGCAAGACAAUUAAUUACCUUGUUAACACAGGAAUGGGCAUGAACCUUUCGGUCCUGUGGUCUUUCCUCUAAUGAGCCCUAGAAUAAAAUCCUUUAAGGAUUUAUGAAUGAAUGCGAACGACAUAAAAAGUCUUGCACAUCUGCAAUGGUUUUUGGCCUGAGUGGCCUAGCGAUGUAAAAUACACUGAAGAGAAGUGUCCAUGUUGGACACCAGUCAACCUCCUGGUCUCAGCUGCCCUCAAAGUUCGGGCCACUUCCCUGUGCUUAAUUAUACCAGCAAGGCAGAACACAUCUCAUUCUGAACAGUCUAGUAACAGGCCCAGCUCAGUUAGGUUUUUGCUGGUAUUUUUAAACUCCUCAGUCUCCUGGAAGCUCUUCAUGUUACCUCCUUCCUCAUGUGCCGACACUUAACGAAAGUCACUGUUUUCAGAGGGAAGAAGAACAUCAUUGUGAGUGAUCUAAUAAAAAGCUCUAAAGUUUCAGAUUGUGCCCUUAACAUUUCAAGUUUCAGAGAAAAGAGCUGCCUUCUGUUUAAGGUCAUCAGAUGAACUUCGGAAGGCAUCUACUGAGUAAAUGAACACAACAAAAGAAAUAGUACAAGAUAAAAUGGAACUGCCGAUCAAAUGAGUUAUUUAGAAAAUAGUUGUUUUAAAAAGUCUGAGGAGAGAAAUGCUCUCUCCAUAGGCAUUUAUUCAGCAGCUGUGCUGGGGAUAGGGAGCAAGAGGAGACUGCCUUCACCAAGCCCGUGAAUAGGGUGCAUCUGAGGAGCUUGAAGUCAUGCCAUUUGCUGAUGAAGGAUGGAAGCAGGGAGUGGGCUGCAGUGGAAAUAAGGGGCAGAGUCAACACAUGAUUAUUUUGAAAGGCAUCUGGUUGCACUUGAGACCCAUGUCUGUCACAUGGUGUGCAUGACUUUUUCCUCAUAGUCAACAGAGUCCGAAGCUUUUCUAGAAUCCGCUGUUUUCUCGGUUGACAAAGAGUGCUUAAAAGCCUGGACUCCGGCAUCAACCCAUCCACCAGCUUGACUUUGUGAGUUUAGGCAAGUGAAUUAACCUUUCUGGCCUUCAGUCUCCUCAUCUGGAAAACAGCAUGUCUACCUCACAGGGAUGCCACGAGAAUGAAGCAAAUGGCCCAAUGGAAAGUUUGAGUUUGGUGCCUCACUUGGAGCAAUUCCUCAAAUAUCACAGCUCUCACUGAAACUACCUUUCCUACCUUCCUUUUCUGUUAUGUUCUUUCUAAAGGGUAAAUGAGUGAGGUUAAUGAGUUCUUCCUAAAGGGUUAAUGAGUGAGAAAAGAAAGUAGUGAUAUGCCCAGGACCAGAGUACAAUGAAAUAUAAAAGGCAUUUUAGAUCUGCUAUUAAUUUCUCUAAGGCAAGAAGCUAGGUAAAUGGCCUUUGAAACAAAGUAGAUCCCAUAAAACUGUAAACUGGUUCAUAAUAGUAUAUGAUUCAAAAACACGACAUCUGCAAAAUAAAUUUUGUAUUUCCAGGAAAACGUUAUCCGAAGCACAGACUACUAAUAACAUGCUCACAGAUGUACUCCCUAAUACAUGAUUUGAGAGUCUACUCUUUUUUGUGUGCGUGAAAUAUUAAGGGGAAUCUUUCCUUAGUAAUAUUUGCAUACCAAACAUGCAGAAGAAUCUGUGGAAACAGCUAAACAUUUAGUUAUGAUUAUAACGUGCAUCACUGGGUUAGGACCAGCCCUGUUCAGUCUGGCAUGCUUAAGAUGGACUUCUAUAUUAAGCUUCAAAUAAAAUAAUUCUGAUAAAUCUGA
Lutra lutra (Eurasian river otter) is the source of this 3551-nucleotide long non-coding RNA. RefSeq lists it as uncharacterized. The record is from RefSeq and is a predicted model, not a curated record. The transcript has 2 exons. Lineage: Eukaryota; Metazoa; Chordata; Mammalia; Carnivora; Mustelidae.